CCACCACGUGAAGAAGGUGCUUGUUUCCCCUUUGCCUUCCGCCAUGAUUGUAAGUUUCCUGAGGUCUCCCAGUCAUACUGCUGGUUAAGCCUGCGGAACGGUCACAUUCUGAGGUUCCAGUGGACAUGAAUUUGGAGGCGACCCUAUUCAACUCAGUACAGCCAGUCUUUUAAAUUUACCAUUCUAAUAGGUGCUGCUGACAGCCAUCGUGUGCUGCGGAGGAAGACUGCCUGAGAAUGGAGCCAUUCAGGAGGAAAUGGGGCAGAGAAAUAAAGAGAAAUAAAAUCCCAUCUUUUCAGUCCCGCUUCCCUCACUCCCUCAUCCAUUCUUCCUAGCAGACUAUUCAGUUGUGCUUUUUAAGAUUUAUUCUGUUUUUGUUUUUCACCUAAGACGGUUUAGCUUGUUUGUUUUUCUCUUGUUUGCAACCACUGUGUUCUAGCGGUUAUUACGAAUUUAAUAGACUUUAUACAAGAUUUUGUAAAGGGCAGAAAACUCAAGAUUGGACAGUGACUUUCUCCUAGGACACUAUCUUGCCGGUGCCUUCACCUCAGUCUCCACCCUGGAUCUCCGAUUUUGUCCCUGAAACUUCAAAUUCUUUUCCUUCAAUUAUACAAUGCAGCAGCUCUCCUUUCAGUAGUGCUACUUUGUACCCUACCCUGGGGAAGAGGUAGCUCACCUUCGAACCUGAGCUCUUGGCAAGGUCUUUUUCCAGAUCUAAGGCAGUUCCCUUCCUAAGGGAGAGUCAGAUGCCACUGAGGAGAGAGAAAGGUAGUCGGAGGGAAUGUUAUGGCAGACACUGUGGUUGCUCACUAAUGUAACAUCCCUUCUCUUCUUCCUUGCUGUAAGGACUCUAAUCUUGUUCCGGAAUUUAAGGAAGGUGGGUUCAGCCUCUGGCUUAGAGGAUGGGCAUGUAACCCAGUCUGACCAGCAAGGUAUAAAGGUCAAUUUAUGGGCAGUCUGGGAAAGUUUUUCUUCCCUGAUAAGAGGAAAACAUAAGGGGAUCUCUCUGCUCUAAGCCUCCAGUUACUUCCUUCUCCAAAAGCAGUUAUGUGAGGAUGUGAUGCCUGGAGCUGUGGAAGCCAUUUUGUGACCAUGAGGAGAAAGCCAAGAGAAUAACAGAGACACUAUCCCAAUGUCCUGAGUAUUGUUCAGCUAUGAAACUAACCCUGGAAACUCCUUGGGCCACAUAGUAGAUAUUUUAAGUUUUGCCAGCCAUAUGUCUCUGUCAUGACUACUAAACUCUUCAUUUAUAUCGUGACAGCAGCCUUUGACAAUAUGUUAACAAAUGGAUGUGACUAUGUUCUGAGAAAACUUCAUUUUCAAAAACGGGCUAAGGGCCAGAUUUGCCCUGUGUGCCACUGUUUGGCACAACCUGUAUUUUUGGCCAUAUUAGCUGGAUUUGCAGUUACUUGCACUCAAAGCAUUUCUAACAGAGCAUGUGUGGGCUGCCCUAGAGGGCAGUCUCUCACCCCAAACACAGCUGUGCUCACAGGCUCAAUUGCCACUUGCUGGAAGCAACAGCUUAUUUUCUUCUGUCUACCAACAUUCAUUCACUCAACAAACGUCUAUUGAGUGCCUACUCUGUGUCAGGAACUGUUCUGAUGCUGGGGCUAAAAUAGGAGAUGUUGAACCCUGUCCUUGGGGAGUUCUCUUUAUAUAACAUUGGGAAUCAAGAAAGCCUUCCUAGAGGAAGUGAUAACUAAGUUAGCUCUGAAGGGUGAAUAGGAGUUAGGAAGAUAAAGGGCAAAACAUGUGGGCCUGGGUGGGUAGGAGGGCAUUCCAGGCAAAAGUAAGAGGGGACAUGGCGCAUAUGUUAGUAGAAAAGGGAAAAUGAGGGAAAGAGUGGAGGAGAGUGAAGCCAGAGAGGUUAAAUGAGACCAGAUCACAUGUGAGCUGGUAGGUCAUUGGUUUUCACACUGAGUGAGAUGGGGCGAUUGGAGGGCUUUGAACAGAGGGGGAUAUCAACCACUGACAGCUGCCUGGGCCAGGGUGAUGAAGAGGUCAUGAACAGGAGAUGGCCUUGAGAGAUUCCAAGGGGUAAAAUAGGACUCGAGGAUAAAGCAGAUGAGGGAAGUGUCUAGGAUGACAUGCAGGGUUCUGAUUCUUAACUAUUUUGUUGUAUCUCUAAAGAAAUAGACAUCGAGCAGAGGAGAAUUCAGAAAGUUUUUUUUGUUUGUUUUUGAGACAGAGUCUCACUCUGUCACCCAGGCUGGAGUGCAGUGGCGCGAUCUCGGCUCGCUGCAACCUCCACUUUCCAGGUUUAUGUGAUUCUCCUGCCUCAGCUUCCUGAGUAUCUGGGACUAUAGGCGCCCACCACCACGCCGGGCUAAUUUUUGUAUUUUGAGUAGAGACGGGCUUUCACCUGGUCUCAAACUCCUGACCUCAGGUGAUCUGCCCGCCUUGGUUUCUCAAAGUGCUGGGAUUACAGGCAUGAGCCACUGUGCCCAGCCCAGAAAGUAUUUUUGAGGCCUUUGUGCAGUGGCUUUAUCAGAAAGAAAGGAGCAAAAAAUAGACAGGAGCUUGGGCUCCUACCUCAUAAUCAAGUUUUGCCUUGCAUUUGUCCCAGAAAAUUCAAUGGAUUAAUUGGACUUCAGCACAAUUGUCUUAAUUUAUAGCAUUAAGUAAAAUCUAUAUAUGUCAAGAUGCAAAGUGCAGGAAUGUAAUGGGGACUGUCACAGAGGCUGCUACAUCUGCAGUAUUCUUUUUUUUUUUUUUUUUUGAGACGGAGUCUCGCUCUGUCGCCCAGGCUGGAGUGCAGUGGCGCGAUCUCGGCUCACUGCAAGCUCCGCCUCCUGGGUUCACGCCAUUCUCCUGCCUCAGCCUCCCAGUAGCUGGGAUUACAGGCGCCCGCCACCACGCCCAGCUAAUUUUUUGUGUUUUUAGUAGAGACGGGGUUUCACCGUGUUAGCCAGGAUGGUCUUGAUCUCCUGACCUCGUGAUCCACCCGCCUCGGCCUCCCAAAGUGCUGGGAUUACAGGCGUGAGCCACCGCGCCCGGCCUGCAGUAUUCUUUCCUAACUGCCUAAGAGGUGUUUGCCUGAAGAAUGGGGGAGGACAGGGUCUAAGAGCUAUGCAGGAACUAGGAAGGGACCUGAGCCUCGACCAAAAUUACAUGAGAACACCAUGUGUGCCAGGCAGUCCCUGAGUCCAGGGACUAUUUUACUAACGACUAACACUCUACUCUACUAAUCUAUUUUAAAAUUUCAUUUUAAUGGUUAUCAAAAUACUGCAGAUACAUUGAUUUUUUUAAAAAAAAGUCAAACAGUCCUUAUAUUUGCUAUGGAUUGCACAUGGCUGCAAGUAACAGAAAACCCGAUUGCUGGUAACAUAAACUAUAAGAAUUGAUUUUAAUAUUUUUGGUGUUAUUCACAACCAGAGGUCCAGACGUGAGCAGUUUGUUAAGUGGCUCAACAGCAUCAGGUCAGAUGUUUUUCCGUUUUCUUGGCCUUCCCCUCAUGAUCACAAGAUGGCUGCUGCAGCUCCUUAAGUCAUCAAUCACAUCUGUGUUCCAGGCAGAAGGAAGGUAGCAAAGACUUUCCCAGAAAUCCCCAGCAGGUUUCUGAUUGUGUUAUUGGCAAGAGCUGUGUCUUGAUUACCCCCAGCUGCAAGGGAGUUUAACAUGGUGAGAGUUUUUCUUUUUUUUAGCUUUUCAGCCUGUAUAGUAGAAAGUCAAGAUAAAGGAGGUUGGGAUGGGUGUCAAGUGGUCAGUAUCCACCAUGGUCCCCGUUCCCUGUCCCACCCCUCCUCAUCCUGAGUUCUCACUCUCCUGAAGUAAUUCUCUU
Gorilla gorilla gorilla (western lowland gorilla) is the source of this 3781-nucleotide long non-coding RNA. RefSeq lists it as uncharacterized. The record is from RefSeq and is a predicted model, not a curated record. Lineage: Eukaryota; Metazoa; Chordata; Mammalia; Primates; Hominidae. The transcript has 3 exons.